RNAcentral lists this ribosomal RNA (2073 nucleotides) under Triticum aestivum (bread wheat). RNAcentral's name for it is "partial small subunit ribosomal RNA". Lineage: Eukaryota; Viridiplantae; Streptophyta; Magnoliopsida; Poales; Poaceae. The record is from RNAcentral.
AUGCCGCCCAAGGCUCCCAAAGCACCCGUCACAUGCAACUGGGUUAGAUCCACCGUCACUGAUAGCAUCUUAAACGAUUUUGUGAAGACUGGUCAUUUGCCAAAGAAAGAGAUCAUGUCUUAUCGUGCUCCUGACCCGUCAGAAGAAAAGCCUCAACCCAAGGAUGGGGAAGUUGUCAUUUUUACUAAUCACAUGAACCGGGGCUUUGCUGCACCCGGCUCAAAAUUUUUCAGAGACGUCUUGCACUUUUUUGACCUGCGACCUCAAGACAUCGGACCCAAUUCCGUGUCAAACAUCUGCAAUUUCCAAGUAUUUUGUGAGGUGUACCUUGGAGAAGAACCCAUCUUACUACUCUUUAGAGAGUUAUUUUAUCUGAACCGUCAAAACGAAUGUGCCCACGGGCCCAGCUUGGAGCUUGGCGGAAUCUCAAUCCAGCGACGUAGAGACUGUCUCUUCCCUUAUGCCGAGCCGCCGAGUCACCCUAAAGAUUGGAACCAGACAUGGUUCUACUGUCAAGACACUUCUCCGGCUAAUGAGAACCCUUUGCCCGGCUUUCGCGCCCUGCGCCUGGAGUCAACUCACCCCUUACCAGAUAAAUUAUCUCCGGCUGAACGUCAAACACUUGCCCCCACCAUAAACAAGAUCAAAGCUCUUCUGGGGAACGGCCUAAACGGCAUUGACUUGGUCCGAGUUUGGAUUGCCUGGCGGGUGAUUCCUUUGAGCCGCCGCCCCGACUUGAUGUGCGAUUACACAGGCCAGAAAAAUGAUCCUCUACGGCACAGUCCCGACGACUUACCUGAGGAUGUCUUUGAUGACAUGACCAAGUCUCUUCUGAACGAGAGCCUGGCAGAUUGCGGGAAAGCGGGCUUAAGUCCUUUCUGCAAGGCUAACCCGGCUCCAGCGGCUGGUGAGAAAUUCCGGAAGGUCAAGUAUGACCAUGAGGCUGCAAAGAAAGCCAGAAAGGCCAAGAAAGCCGCCAGGAAAGACGCUGCCCGUAAGAAGGGGAACAAACCUAGCGCCUCGGAUAUGUUUCAUCUGGACGAUACCUCUGAGUCAGAGGAGGAUACAGGAGCAAGUCAUGCAGUAAUUGAAGAGGUAACUAUAAUUUCCUCCGACUCCGAGCCUUUGCCGAGACAGAAAGUCCGAAGGGUAACUCGGAAAGCUGCCAUUAAGCAAUUUGAAUCGGAGAUCUCUGACUUGAAGAAUCGCCUGAAAACUCAAGAGAGUGAAACCCAAAAGGCGAAUUCCAAGUUUGAAUUCAGUGUAUCCGCACAAGAGAAAUUGAAAAAGAAGUUUGAAGCAGAGAGAAAGGCCUGGGCGAAACUGCUUUGCUCAACCGGGCUGAACAAGCGGAGGCCACUUGCAGAAACAACCGCCGAGUUAUCCAGCUUAAAACACCAUGUAUCUCAGAUGGUCUCAGCAAUCUUUGGCCCCAGGAGUUCCAAUCUCAACCAAAGCAUGCUGAGAAAGCGGAAGGCCAUUUAUACCCUGGUGGAACAACUCUACACCGGGUCACAACGCGCCUUAGCCGUCGUGGCUUUGUCAAAUGAAGUUCCCACUCAUCUGGCGGAUGUGCUAAGGCGGCUUGCCGUGCUACCUCAACGAUUCCAGGAAUUGAGACGAGCUUCUGCAAGAGCCAGAGCCAUAGCUGCAUUAAGCCGGGCCAAGGCAUGGCUACCGGAGCUAGACCCGGCCGACAUCACCCUUGGGUAUCCCAGUUUGAAGGAGGACGGCACCCCCUUUGACCAGAAGGAUUUCGCCGCUUGCAUGAAGGACAUACGCCCUGUGGCCACUCUGAUCGGUAAUGACACGGAUCUUACCAAAUACCAACCAGGUUAUGACGCCGAGAAUCAGAGAAUUCCAACACCACGUUAUGAAGCAAUCAGCCUGAUCCCUCCCACUCGUAAGCAUACCUUCGCCCCUGACGUUGAUCCGGUCGGGUUAAUUGACGAUGAAGCUGAAUUUGAAGCCUUGAGUGGCAUUGACUGGAAAUCAUCAACCUUCCAGGACAGGGAAACAGAUGGAGGAGCAGAAAGGGAUGAACCGGAAGCUUCAGCCCAACAACACCUUUGA